Molecule: ribosomal RNA, 428 nt
Filed under: uncultured euryarchaeote
Lineage: Archaea; Methanobacteriati; Methanobacteriota
Description: bacterial SSU rRNA
Rfam family: Archaeal small subunit ribosomal RNA
Source: RNAcentral
CAGCGACGGGUAUGGGGUGUGAGAGCACUUGCCCAGAGAUGGUUUCUGAGACACGAAACCAGGCCCUACGGGGCGCAGCAGGCGCGAAAACUUCGCAAUGCGGGAAACCGUGACGAGGGAAUUCCAAGUGUCUAUGCAUUGCAUAGACUGUUUUUUAGCCUAAAUAGCUAUUAGAGUAAGGGGUGGGUAAGACCGGUGCCAGCCGCCGCGGUAACACCGGCACCCCGAGUGGUAGCCACUAUUAUUGGGCCUAAAGCGUUCGUAGCCGGUUUGGUAAAUUCUUGGGUAAAUCGUACCGCUUAACGGUGCGGAUUCCGGGGACACUACCAGACUUGAGACCGGGGGAGAUCAGAGGUACUUGCGGGGGAGCGGUGAAAUGUUGUAAUCCCGCAGGGACCACCAGUGGCGAAGGCGUCUGAUCAGAACGG